Molecule: non-coding RNA, 75 nt
Organism: Podarcis lilfordi (Lilford's wall lizard)
Lineage: Eukaryota; Metazoa; Chordata; Lepidosauria; Squamata; Lacertidae
Source: the annotation of a GenBank genome assembly
UGCUGUAUAGCUUAGUUGGUUAGAGCAUGGUGCUGAGAACACCAACGGCACAGGUUUGAUCCCCUGAUGGGGCAG